UGGGGAAUAUUGGACAAUGGGCGAAAGCCUGAUCCAGCGACGCCGCGUGAGUGAUGAAGGCCUUCGGGUUGUAAAGCUCUGUUGAGGGAGAAGAAAACAGUUAGAACUAACAUGUCUAGCUCUUGACGGUAUCCCUUUAGAAAGCACCGGCUAACUCUGUGCCAGCAGCCGCGGUAAGACAGAGGGUGCAAACGUUGCUCGGAAUGACUGGGCGUAAAGCGCGUGUAGGCGGGCUUGUAAGUUGGACGUGAAAGCCCUGGGCUCAACCCAGGAAUUGCAUCCAAAACUACAAGUCUAGAGUGAUGGAGAGGGUAGCAGAAUUCCUGGUGUAGAGGUGAAAUUCGUAGAUAUUCGGAAGAACACCAGUGGCGAAGGCGACUUACUGGACACAUAUUGACGCUGAGGUGCGAAAGCGUGGGGAGCAAA
Molecule: ribosomal RNA, 426 nt
Filed under: uncultured bacterium
Lineage: Bacteria
Description: bacterial SSU rRNA
Rfam family: Bacterial small subunit ribosomal RNA
Source: RNAcentral